This 258-nucleotide ribosomal RNA is filed under the name uncultured bacterium. Its description in RNAcentral is "partial 16S ribosomal RNA". It matches the Rfam family "Bacterial small subunit ribosomal RNA", at positions 96 to 354 of the family's 1533-position model. The record is from RNAcentral.
UGGCGGACGGGUGAGUAACGCGUGGGUAACCUGCCCUGUACAGGGGGACAACAGCUGGAAACGGCUGCUAAUACCGCAUAAGCCUACAGUACCGCAUGGUACAGCAGGAAAAACUCCGGUGGUACAGGAUGGGCCCGCGUCUGAUUAGUUAGUUGGCAGGGUAACGGCCUACCAAGACAACGAUCAGUAGCCGGCUUGAGAGAGUGGACGGCCACAUUGGGACUGAGACACGGCCCAAACUCCUACGGGAGGCAGCAG